ACGGAAUCCGAGGAGAUCAAAGAAGACUAGGGCGUGCGAGCAGGGGCCGUCUGGCAAUAAACCGGCCAAUGGGGGACUGCAAAAGCGGCGCCUGGAGCCUAUGGAGACCGUGUGUGGCUGGUGGGGGUGGGAUUUAAUGGGAUUUGGCGGGUUCUAAGGUAGGCGCGACGCACAGGUGGAGGUAGAGGAAGUGAAGAGUUUAAUAUUUAAAAGGACCUAAAAAUUGACUAUGGUUCUGGUCUAUAAGGAAGAUCCCGUGUGAUCUGUCGGCCUGGAUAUUGAUUUUUCACACGGGAGGUUUGGAUUUCACUCCUGGCAAUGGGACUGAGUAUAAGCAUUUAAAAGGUUUUAAACAGAGACAGGUUUUCUAAAAUUCAUCUUUGAUAACUCCAGCUCUGCACUCGCAACCCAUAAGUGAGGCUCAAGUGGAAAUUGACAACACUCUCUGUCUAAUCACCUCGUUUGAUAGUCAAAUGGAGAGGGUGGCUGAAGUCCUCUGCCGAAGAUUGGCCAUCUUGUAGUUAGGCAUAGUUCCCAUGUUUUUAUUUAAAUGGUAAGGUUUUUGUGAAUUUAUUCUUAUGCACUAGAGUGACUGAGUGAAUUUAUUUUUCAGGUUAGAUUUUCAAACAAGAACUUAUAACCCAGCAAGAAUGGGCCUUUGCCUGGAGAAGAAUCCAGACCAUGGGAUGAAUCCCCAAAUGCUAUUUCCAUCUGUAGAGCCUAGAGCACCCACCCCUACCAAGGAAGUCUUCCCAGAUAAUUUGUGUUUCAUAUGUAAAAGCAAGUUUUUUUUUUCAAAUGCUCAAAACCCAAGCAAGUUAAGCCCUUCCUUCCUUCCUUCCUUCCUUUCUUUUCUCUCUCUCUCUCUUUCUUUCUCUCUCUCUCUCUUUCUUUCUUUUUUUUCUUUUUUAGACAGGGUCUGUGUCCCCUAGGCUGGAGUGCAGUGGUAUGAUCAUGACUCAUUGCAGCCUCAACCUCCCAGGCUCAAGUGAUCCUCCCGCUUCAGCCUCUGGAGUACCUGGGACUACUGGCAUACACCACCACGCCCAUCUAAUUUUUAAAAAAGUUUUUGUAGAGACAGAGUCUCACUAUGUUGCCCAGGCUGGUCUCAAACUCCUAGGCUUAAGUGAUUUGCCCACCUCGGCCUCCCAAAAUGCCGAGAUUAUAGGCAUGAGCCAGCACACCUGGCCAAGUUAAGCUUUUCUUUGCCCUUAGAACGAGAUAAUUGUAAAAUGAAAACAUUGAGAUUAGUUUUUUUGGUCUGUAAAUCUCAUGUUACAUAUAGUUUAAAUUACAUUGAGUGUGAUUGGAAUAGAUACUAGGUAGAAAAAUAUUAUCUAGUUAAUCUAUACCACUUUCCUGUGAAAAGAGAGAAAAGAAGACACAUAUUUAUUUAACAGAGAACACAAUUCUGAUGGGCUGGAGAUGAGUCUGUGUAAGUCUAUUAACUUAUAUUUCACAAAAAAGAAUUUUUUACUUAAAAAUGUAUUUCCAACUUUAUUUUUACAUUUCAAACCUACAGAAAAGUUGACAGUGAACACUCAUAUACCCUGCACUUAAGUUCGCCAGUUGUUUUAUUUUGAAUUUUUAAAAUUUUUUUAGAGGCAGGGUCUUGCUCUCUUGCCUAGGCUAGAAUGCAGUGGUGUGAUCUCGGUUCACUGCAACCUCUGCCACCGGGCUCAAGCAAUCCUCCCGCCUAAGCCUCCUGCAUAGCUGGGACUACAGGCAUGAGCCACCAUGCCCAGCUAAUUUUUUGUAGAAAUGGGGUUUCACCAUGUUGCCCAGGCUGGUCUCGAAUGCCUGAGCUCAAUCAGUUCGCCUAACUCGGCCUCCCAGGGUGCUGGGAUUACAGGCGUGAGCCACCAUGCCCGGCCUGGAUUCACUCGUUGUUAAUAUUUGAUCACAUUUGCUUUCUUUCCAGACCAUAGGAUAAUUGUUGACAUGGCUGCAUAGCAUUCCAUUCUUUGGAUGGCCUCAGAUUUUUGAGCCACUCCUCUGUCACUGGAUAUUUGAAUGUGUUCAGAUAUUUUCGUUGUUAUAACCAGGAUGGGAUAAGUCUUUGCUGUCAAAUUUUUGUGCGGAGCCAUGAUUAUUUCCUUGUGAUAAAUUCCUAGAAGUAGAAUUUAUAGAUUUUUUUUGAGACAGAGUCUCACUUUGUUGCCAAGGCUGGAGUGUAGUGGUGUGAUCUCUGCUCAUGGCAACCUCUGCCUCCUGGUUUCAAGUGAUUCUUCUGCUUCAGCCUCUGGAGUAGCUAGGACUACGGGCACACACUACCAUGCCGCCUAGCUAAUUUUUGUAUUUUUAAUAGACACAGGGUUUCACCAUGUUGGCCAGGCUGGUCUCGAACUUGUGGCCUCAAGUGAUCUGCCCACCUCGGCCUCCCAGGGCGCUGGGAUUACAGGCAUGAGCCACCUCACCCGGCUGAAUUUAUGGAUUUAAAGGAGGUCACUGCAUUGUAAAUCAAGUGUUGAGUGACAGUGGUACGCAUAACAGUGAACCUCCUCAUCUAAGCUCUAUAUCAGGGGUCAGCAAAUUAUGGCCCCUGGUUUGCUGACCCUUUACAGUUUCCUAUAGCCUGCAAACUAGGAAUACUAUUUACAUCUUUAAAGGGCUUUAGAAAAGUAAAACUAAUAUUUUGUGACACAUCAAAAUUAUAUGAAAUUUGCAUUUUAGUGUCCAUUAAUAAAAUUUUCUUGGAACACAAGUCUCACUCAUGCGUUUACAUAUUGUCUGUUACUGCUUUCACGCUAUAAUGGCAGAGUUGAGUAGUUGCCAAAGAGACCACAUGGUAUGGACAUCCUAAAGUAUUUACUAUCUGGCCUUUUACAGAAAAGGUUUGCCAACCCCUGCUCUGUACAAUGCCUGUCACCAAUACAGAGGUUGGGGCUCUAACCAGGUGGGUCUCCCUGGCUUCCACUGGCGACCUCUUAACCUGGCUUAUGGGUGCACAUUUUCAGGCUGGUGCUUCUGGGAGAUAUGAGAGACACAGUCAGCUUGUUUCCAGCUCCAAGAUGUGAGAUGGACUGUGUCUCUUAUGUCUGCAUUUGAAUCUUCUCUCCUUUCCAUCCAACUUCCUGCCCCCAGCUCUGACUCAUAGGUCUCUGUCUUUGCCUUUUCCCAAGAAGAGCAAGAAAUGACUAAGGCCCAGGGGAGGCUGCAUUUCCCUGAUAGCUAAUGAUGUAGAACAUCUUGCCAUGUGCUUAUUUGUCAUCUACAUGUCCUUUAUGGUGAAAUGUCUCUUCACAUUCUUUGCUCAUUUACCAAAUGGAUUGCUUAAAAAAAAAAAAAACUUGAGUUUUGAGAGUUCCUUACAUAUUCUAGGUAUGAGUUCUUUGUCAGAUAUGUGGUUUGCAAAUAUUUCCUCCCAGGCUGUAGUUUGUCUUUUUGUCCUCUUAACAAGGUCUUUGUUAGAGCAAACACAUUUAAUUUUGAAGUCUAGUUUAUUGAUUUAAAAACAUUUUUUGGAUCAUGCUUUUGUUGUUGUGUCUAAGAACUCUUCACAAGCCGUAGCUCCCAAAGACGUUCUCCUGUGUUUUAUUUUUAAAGUUUUUUAAUUUUAUGUUUGACAUUUAAAUCUGUGAUCUGUUUUUAAAAAACAGCUUUAUUGAGAUGUAAUUCACAUACAAUAAAACCCACACAUUUGAAGUUUACAGUUCAGCAGUUUUUAAUAUAUUCACAGAGUUGUACAAACAUCACCACAAUCUAACUUUAUUUUUUUAAUAAUUUUUUUUUUUUUGAGACAGGGUCUCACGCUGUCACCCAGGCUGGAGUGCAGUGGUAGGAUCUUGGCUCACUACAGCCUCAACCUCUCAAACGCAAGCGAUCCUCCCUGCCUCACCCCCUCAAGUAGCUGAGACUAUAGGCAUGUGCCACCACGCCGGCUAAGUUUUGUAUUUUUUGUAGAGAUGGGGUUCCACUGUGUUACCCAGGCAGGUCUUGAACUCCUGAGCUCAUUCGAUCCACCCACCUCGGCCUCCCGAAGUACUGGGAUUACAGGCGUGAGGCACCACGCCCAGCAAUCUAGAGUAUUUUCAUCACCCCAAAUAGAACUCCUGUACCCACUCCUCAGUGUGUUCUCCCCACCCCAGCCCUAAGCAACCACAAAUUUAAUUUCAUCUGUAAAAAUUUUUGUAUUCUGCACAUUUCAAUAAAUAGAAUCAUAUACACUAUGUGGCCUUUUAUGCCUGGCUUCUUUCACUUAGUAUAAUGUUUUUAAGUUUCAUUUGUCCAUGUUAUAAUACUUAUUAGUACUUUAUUCCUUUCUAGGGCUGAAUAAUAGUCCCUUGUGCAUAUAUGCCACAUUUUGUUUAUUUCUCUUACCAAUUUCAGUAAAAUGUAAAGUCCUUACUCCUUUUAAGUCCCUUUUCCUCCCCCUUUAUAACAUUAAAUGUUAAAUAAAUAUUUCCUCUCUCUAUAUUGGGAAUCAUCUCAAUGUUGUAAUUUAUACUUCAACCAUCAAGCACCAUUUAAUAAACUUGAGAGGGAAAAUAAAGUCUAUUUAUUGAUAUUUUUGCUCCUUUUGUUGUUUUCCUUUCUGAUGUUCCAAGAUUCCUUCUUAUAUCAUUGCCCUUCUGUUGUAAGGAUUUUCUUUAGCCAUUCUUUCAAGGUAAGUCUGCUGGUAACACAUUCUCUUAGUUUUCCUUCAUCUGAGAAUGUCUUAAUCUCACCAUCAUUCCUAAGGACAUUUCUGCCAGCUAAAGAAUUCUUGGUUGGUAUUCCUUUUAUGUCAUCUCUUGAAAACUGUUGUGCCACUUCCUUCUGGCUUCCAUGUUUUCCAAUGAGAAAUUCACUGUCAUUAAAAUUAUUUUUCUUAUGUAGAUAAGAUGUCGUUUCCUCCUGCUUUCAAGAAUUUUUAUUUGUCUUUAGGCCAGGCAUAAUGGCUUGUAAUCCCAGCAUUUUGGGAGGCUGAGGUGGGCAGAGCACUUGAGGUCAGGCGCUCAAGACUAGACUGGCCAAUAUGGUGAAAUUCCCAUCUCUACUAAAAAUACAAAAAUUAGCUGGGCGUGGAGGCACGUGCCUGUAAUCCCAGCUACUCAGGAGGCUGAGGCAGGAGAAUCGCUGGAACCCAGGAGGCAGAGGUUGCAGUGAGCCGAGAUCAUGCCCCUGCACUCCAGCCUGGGCAACAGAGCAAGACUCUGUCUCAAGAAAAAAAAAGAAAAAAAUUUUCUUUGACUUUAGUUUUCAGAAGUUUGACUCUGAUGUGCCUCAGCAUGGAUUUCUUUACGUUUAUCCUGUUUAGGGUUUGCUUAGCCUUUUGAAUCUGUAUUCAACAGGUUUAUAUUUUUAGCCAAAUAUGGCAAAAUUUCAGACAUUGUUUCUUUGAAUACUUUUUCAGCUCUUUCCUCUUUCUUCUCUUUUCUGGACUUUGAUAACACAAAUGAUCGAAUAUUUGGUUCCACUAGUCCCUGAGGCUCUAUUCAUUGGUUUUCAGUCUACUUUUCUCUGCUGUUUGGAGUAAUUUCUAUUGUUCUAUCUUCAUGAUUCGUGAUUCUUUCUUGUGUCCUCUUCAUUCUGCCUUUGAACCCAUUCACUGAGCUUUCGAUUCAGUUAUUGUGAGACAAAGUACCAUAUGUAAGAAGCUAUGUUUGCUCAUUCGGCUUACCAGCAGAAUUUCACAAAAUCCCUUAUCAGUGGAAUUUUACAAAGCCCCUGACUCAGUGACUCAGCACCACCCACUGGAAGAAUGUUCUGAAGAUGAUCAGCAGUAUGGAGGACAGCCUGCCAUGUCCCUUGUGUGAAUCACAGCAGUUUUAGAAAGGAUAAGUUCAGCGAUCCUAAUCCUGGCCUCUUCCUAUACAGAAGAUAACAGGAUUAUCUGACCGGAUUAAUAAUUAGGCCUCUGUAGUCUAUAACCAGAUGUGCCCUCAUACCCAAGCCU
RNAcentral lists this long non-coding RNA (5878 nucleotides) under Homo sapiens (human). Its description in RNAcentral is "non-protein coding lnc-TIMP1-4:2". The record is from RNAcentral. Lineage: Eukaryota; Metazoa; Chordata; Mammalia; Primates; Hominidae.